This 329-nucleotide ribosomal RNA is filed under the name uncultured eukaryote. RNAcentral describes it as "partial 18S ribosomal RNA". It matches the Rfam family "Eukaryotic small subunit ribosomal RNA", at positions 1470 to 1796 of the family's 1831-position model. The record is from RNAcentral.
CCCCUAGAUGUUCUGGGCCGCACGCGCGCUACACUGAACAGUUCAACAAGUCUUAACCUUGGCCGAUAGGUCUGGGUAAUCUUUGAACGCUGUUCGUGAUUGGGAUAGACCUUUGCAAUUAUGGGUCUUCAACGAGGAAUUCCUAGUAAACGCAAGUCAUCAGCUUGCAUUGAUUACGUCCCUGCCCUUUGUACACACCGCCCGUCGCACCUACCGAUUGAAUGGUCCGGUGAAAUGUUCGGACCGCGACAAGGCGGACGGUUCGCUGUCAGCUUUGCUGCGGGAAGUUCAUUAAACCUUAUCAUUUAGAGGAAGGAGAAGUCGUAACA